GGGGGUAUAGCUCAGUGGUAGAGCGCAUUCUUAGCAUUACAAGGUCCUGGGUUCAAUCUCUAGUACCUCUA
Molecule: transfer RNA, 71 nt
Filed under: Camelus bactrianus (Bactrian camel)
Lineage: Eukaryota; Metazoa; Chordata; Mammalia; Artiodactyla; Camelidae
Also listed under: 2 other names
Rfam family: tRNA
About the family: Transfer RNA (tRNA) molecules are approximately 80 nucleotides in length. Their secondary structure includes four short double-helical elements and three loops (D, anti-codon, and T loops).
Source: Rfam by way of RNAcentral